UUUUGGGAAGGGAAGACAGGGUUAAGGA
Molecule: non-coding RNA, 28 nt
Filed under: Cricetulus griseus (Chinese hamster)
Lineage: Eukaryota; Metazoa; Chordata; Mammalia; Rodentia; Cricetidae
Source: RNAcentral